This is a long non-coding RNA of Dermochelys coriacea (leatherback sea turtle), 4651 nucleotides long. RefSeq lists it as uncharacterized. The transcript has 9 exons. The record is from RefSeq and is a predicted model, not a curated record. Lineage: Eukaryota; Metazoa; Chordata; Testudines; Dermochelyidae.
CCCGCCUCCCCCGUGCGCGCCGGGCUCCGGCGAGAGACGCGCUCUGCGCUGCAGGGACAGAGCCUGGCCACAGGGUCCCGGCCUGGGGCUCGGUCCCGGGGGAGCCGCUUUGGCCCUUUGAAUUCUCCCUUCAGAGCAGGAGAUUAAUUCACUAAGACCAGAAGUUGGGAAAGUACAUUGUUCCAGUGUCUUGUUCUUUGUCCACUGCAUUUAACUCCUGGAGUUUCACCAUCCAUGUCAGGACUGUUUACACAUACUCCAGCACACUUAGCAGAAGAAAUUUCCUGGGAAAGGAGAUAAAUUUGCUGUGGCAUGAGUUGGAAUCUGGGGAAGAAUGUGAAGAUACAGCCAUGGAAAGUUUCUAAUCCAUGACAGCACUUUGUCACACCCAAGACUGCUCAACAGAUUUUACUCAAUAAUCUCUUCUCAGCCACCUACUGGAAAGAUAGGAGGAGGAAGCAUGCCUAGGAGCUCUGAUCCUGUAUAAAGUGCACCAAUCUGGAAUUGUGGAGAGGAGAGAUGAGAAAAGAGCAGAAUCUGGACAGUUGAAAGAAGAAUUUUGAAUUUAGCCUGAUCUACACUAGAAAAUCAGCUACAUUUGAACGCAAUGAAGUGAUCUGUGAAGCCCUAUUAAAUGCUUGCUGUGACUGCUCUCUUGGUGCUUAUGGGCCAUGAAUUAAAAAAUAAACUACUUCGGCCUCUUUCCUUCCCCGCUCAUAGGUGAAGCGCUGCAUGUCUGCUGGAAGCAUCAAUUUAUUCUGCAAAAUGUAACCGUUUCUCUUUGACAACCAGAGUGAUCAGUUUCCUCCACUUGGACAGGAACUGGGCUGCCAACACCAGCUGCAGAUCUGACUACAGCAGAGUGUGUGGGGUGGCUUACCUUUAGAGGGAGAUGCUGUUGCACAUUUACUACUAAGACAUACUUGAAAUUACAUUUCAUAUCCUGUUAUCACCAACUGAGUUUGUUUUGCAAUCAAACACAAAAUAUUAGAAAUGUCUGUUUAGAUUGUAGUAAUAUCUUCAGUGCUGUCAUCUAAUUGAGUUAAUUUUGAAAUCUAGAAUAGGAUAACUUACUAUAACCUCACCUUUUUAAAGCCAAUUUCCAGAUAGCAUUUAGCACUAAGCGUUUGAAAGGUGCUGAAUACCUCCAAUUUAAAUAGUGUAAUUAUACGGAGACUUACUUGUAGAAAGCUUUCUCUUCCCACCCCUAAAGAGGGGUUACAUACAGUUUUUGUUACCUUUACUUGACAGCAGACCAUGGCUGGCUCUAGGUUUUUUGCCACCCCAAGCAAAAAAUUUCAAGGCCUCCCCCCCCACAAAAAAAGGGGUAGCCGGAAUGCCUCCCCUGGAAUUGUACCUCCCCAAGCACGUGCUUGCUUUGUUGGUGCCUAGAGCCAGUUCUGCAGCAGGCUGGUCUCCAAAAAGAUUCUAUAAACUCUAAAAGCAAUUUUCUUUUGAAGAAAUGUCCUAAAUUGUAGAAAUACUUAGACUUGCCUUACUUCAUGACACACUAUUCAGUGGUUCGUUUUCUUUAGGAGGAGUCUAUUUACAUUCUACUUUAUAACUGCACAUUUGCAAGAAAAAUUACUCAAUGAAAUACAGGGCCUGACUUGAGAAAAGCAGCCUCCAGUUUUUCACUCAGUUUUAUGCCUGCAAUUGAUUGUGAAUGUGAAAGUGCCAGCUUAGAACCAUUUUAAAAAUCAGGCCUAUUACCUUGUGUCACUAGAUAUGGAAAGAAGAGAUUCAGAAGAAUAACCUCAGUAUCAAAAGGGCAUUACAGUUUCAGGGUAUGUGAGAUUUUGUACUAGUAUAAAAUAGUUAAAUAUUAAUGCUUUACAUGGUAACAGUGUAGCAAUGCUUAUCUGAGAACUGUAAAACACAUUACAAACAUUAAUUAUCUCCAAAUAUCUCUGGGGUGAUAGGUAAAUAGAGGUGGGUGAAAAAGUCACAACAAACGUCGCCUCUGUCCAAGAAUAGACAGCAAUUUUCUCUAAUUGUGUUUAUUUGAAAUUAUUUGCUGAAUAAUUUUUGGAGAUGUCUGGUUGCAAGUAUUCAAUAACUGAAAAAGGAGGGAGACACUGGGCUGUUGGUAAGUUUCUGUUCCCUAAAUUGAGCAUCGUAACUCCUAGAAUCAGAUUUCUGGAGCAAAUAUUUACAAUUACAUUUAUGAAAUUUGCUUUCUAUAAAUAUUCUGGAAUGUUGCUUUGUUUGCUUUUUCAGCAAGUGUUCUUGCCACUAAGCUCAUUUUGCUAGAAUUUGUUUGAAAAAUAAACACAAAAGGCGACACACAUGGGCACUGGGAUUACAUUUAUGUUACGCAUCCCUGAUACACAAUUGGGGAUCAGUUACAGCUGCCAAUUACAGCACUUAAUCCUUUAGCUCAAGUUGCAGAGCUCUUGGUUCAAUCCUUGUUACCUCCAGAAGAUGGGGUCCAUCUCACGAAAGGGAGGUUCGUGUGGGAUUCAAACUGCUGUGCCCUCAGACGCUCAGGCAGUCUUCUUCUGUUUAGACGUUUGAGAGAUGUGGGCUAGCCACUUAGGAAUCUGUUACCCCCACGUACACAGUGUGUUUCCUUAAGUAUGCACUUAAGGAAUUUUUUGAUCAGAAAUUUCCCACUGUUAUAGUGACCUGCUGGUAUGAAAUGUCCAUUUGCAAAAAUGUAAGUCGCUGUCUAACUCUGACUUAAUUUUAAUUUUUUUUGUCCACAGUACAAGCGUGGUUUUGUGUUUGAAUAUUUGUAUGGAGAGGAUUGUGUGUACUGAAAAAAGAACCCUCUUUGGAAACAGCACUGAUAGAAGCAGCAUUGUUGUUCUAUGCUUCUCUAUACAGUUUGUAGGGACUCAUGCUGCAAGAGCCUCUCAGAUAAAGCAUAGCGAAGCCCUAUGCAUAGCAAUAAUCACAAUGAGAGACUGUGUCCUGCUAACGUAACUCAUUUGUCAGAGUGAAAUGUCUGGGAAUACAAAGUGAUCAUUAAAAACGAGUGCAUAGGAAAACUGUUUCCUUGUUUGUGGUGUUUAUGAAUACUCUGGCUAUGCACUGGAUAACUAAUGUUUAAUAUUCUUGUACUGUCAGCACAAUGAGACAAAGCAAGAGCUUUGUAGUUAUAUGUGAAAUAACUUCAUUAUUUAAACUUUGACCACAAAUCAAUUUGCCAACCAAUUUGCAUUGUUAUUUCAAUGACCCACCAACCGCUCCAGGGCAGCCAUAAAAAUUAACUGUAUAGGUCCCCAAUUGUCAAAUGAAAGUGCCACAAGUUAGGUGAAAACAAAAAAGAACAAAAAAACCUGCCCAGGUCCUGACCAUUUGUGGUUUCCUUUGACUUCUAUGGGAGUUAUGGGUGCACAACAUCUAUGAAAACAAGGUAAUUUCAUUUAGUACCUCACUUUAGACACCUACAUCUGAAAACUUUAGCUAUCUUUUCCAAAUGCAACCACAUCUGGGUUUAACAGUGCAAUCUCUUAACAGCACAGAAUAUUGUUACAUCAGUUUAGGGAGGGAAGAAUACCUAUCUGAAACUGCAGGGGGAACUCUUUUAUAGGCAGAAUGUAGUUACACUGGUAUUUGGAGAGAAGCCUGGGGCCAACAGGCCUGCCUUUAGCUUAUAUUUUUCAUUUGAAAGAAGACAGCCUCUCCAAAAGCAGAGUACCCCAUACCGCUAUGCAAUAGAGUCAGCACUGACUCUGAGAGGAAGAGUGCCACCUACUGAAUCACUCAAACUACUUUUUAAAGAACACUGGGUUUUAACCAUCCAAGUACAGUUAAACCCACUUUUGAGAGCCGCCAAGCUCGCUCACAGCCUAAGGCGGUAUUAUAUCUAAUUAUAACAUUACAUGGAUGUUCUCUCUUAUAAUCAAGGAGAUCAUCCUCUUAGAUAGUGAGGCUGUUCCAUUUUCUAAUAGAUGCCUCUACAUAGAGCCACAGUGUUUUAGGUACUUCCUUAUCUCUGUUGUGUAUAUAUAGUGGAACCCACUAUUAGUGACCUUAAUUCUAAUAUGUUGAAAGGAGUGAAAGUCCAGAAUUUCUUCAGUUUACUUCUCUGGACUUUGAAUUCUCUAAUAGUGAAAAUCUAUUUCACUCACAGUGAAGUUUAACACUUCUUCCCUUGGAAUGCUGUAUGCAAUGCUGCAUUCCAUCUACCAGAUAUGUAUUAAGUGCUUUUUUUCUUCUGUGCUGUUUGAACAGCAGUGAGAUGGGAAGAGGAGAAAAAUUGCCAUUGCUCAGUGGGAAUGAGGAAUCCCUGCUUUUGAUUUGCUGCAGCUGCUCCAAUCAGGAGCAGGGACAGAAAAGGGGUCCAUCUUGCUCCAGCUGCUUCCUAUUAUGAUGCCUAGGAGCUAGAGUCAUGGAUGAGGACUCCAUUAUGCUACAUACUGUACAAAGACAGAGCAAAGGCAUGGUGCGUGCCCCAAAGAGCUUGCAAUCUAAGGACAAGACGGAUGGGAGCAUAACAGGAAACAAUGAGACAUUCUGGAUCAGCAUGAUAGGCUGUGGUAUCAGUGCCCCAAUAGCUCGCUUGGAAGAAAUCAGUGAGAUGCUGUGCAUAGAGAAAAGUGGAAGUUGGAGGAGGGGAAGGGUUUGAGGAGUGAGUCUAAAUCGCUAACUCAGGAACCAAUUCCGUUAACAAACCCCGUUGCCUACUCUGUCCCCAUAUCUA